GAUGAAGAACGCAGCGAAAUGCGAUAACUAAUGUGAAUUGCAGAAUUCCGUGAAUCAUCGAGUCUUUGAACGCACAUUGCGCCCCCUGGUAUUCCGGGGGGCAUGCCUGUCCGAGCGUCAUUACAACCCUCAAGCCCGGCUUGUGUAAUGGGCGGCCGUCUCUCCCCCCGGGGGGAGACGCCCCCGAAACUCAGUGGGGAUGUCGCGAUACCGAAGCCUCAGCUAAUGGGUAAACCACAGCUGCAAUGGCCGCGGCCGGCGUCCGCCUUCCACGGUCCGUCCGCCUAGCGCGGGCGGCCUUCUCAAGGUUGACCUCGGAUCAGGUAGGGAUACCCGCUGAACUUAAGCAUAUCAAUAAGCGGAAGA
RNAcentral lists this unclassified non-coding RNA (366 nucleotides) under soil metagenome. Its description in RNAcentral is "partial contains 5.8S ribosomal RNA, internal transcribed spacer 2, and large subunit ribosomal RNA". The stretch from base 1 to 120 matches the Rfam family "5.8S ribosomal RNA", at positions 35 to 154 of the family's 154-position model. The record is from RNAcentral.